Small nuclear RNA from Talpa occidentalis (Iberian mole), 107 nucleotides. The record is from RefSeq and is a predicted model, not a curated record. Lineage: Eukaryota; Metazoa; Chordata; Mammalia; Eulipotyphla; Talpidae.
GGCUCAUUUCAGCAGACAUCUACUAGAACCGCAAUAACAGAAACUAAAGAUUAGCAUGGCCCCUGGGCAAGAAUGACACACAUAUUCGUGAAGUGUUCUAUAUUCUU